Molecule: ribosomal RNA, 429 nt
Filed under: Pseudomonadota bacterium
Lineage: Bacteria; Pseudomonadati; Pseudomonadota
Description: Proteobacteria bacterium partial 16S ribosomal RNA
Rfam family: Bacterial small subunit ribosomal RNA
Source: RNAcentral
UGGGGAAUAUUGGACAAUGGGGGGAACCCUGAUCCAGCCAUGCCGCGUGUGUGAAGAAGGCCUUAUGGUUGUAAAGCACUUUAAGCGAGGAGGAGGGUACUGGUAUUAAUACUACCAGGUACUGGACGUUACUCGCAGAAUAAGCACCGGCUAACUCUGUGCCAGCAGCCGCGGUAAUACAGAGGGUGCGAGCGUUAAUCGGAUUUACUGGGCGUAAAGCGUGCGUAGGCGGCUAAUUGAGUCGGAUGUGAAAUCCCCGAGCUUAACUUGGGAAUUGCAUUCGAUACUGGUUAGCUAGAGUGUGGGAGAUGAUGGUAGAAUUCCAGGUGUAGCGGUGAAAUGCGUAGAGAUCUGGAGGAAUACCGAUGGCGAAGGCAGCCAUCUGGCCUAACACUGACGCUGAGGUACGAAAGCAUGGGGAGCAAACAG